This 497-nucleotide ribosomal RNA is filed under the name uncultured bacterium. RNAcentral's name for it is "partial 16S ribosomal RNA". It matches the Rfam family "Bacterial small subunit ribosomal RNA", at positions 28 to 507 of the family's 1533-position model. The record is from RNAcentral.
GAUGAACGCUGGCGGCGUGCCUAAUACAUGCAAGUCGAGCGAACAGACGAGGAGCUUGCUCCUCUGACGUUAGCGGCGGACGGGUGAGUAACACGUGGAUAACCUACCUAUAAGACUGGGAUAACUUCGGGAAACCGGAGCUAAUACCGGAUAAUAUUUUGAACCGCAUGGUUCAAUAGUGAAAGACGGUCUUGCUGUCACUUAUAGAUGGAUCCGCGCCGCAUUAGCUAGUUGGUAAGGUAACAGCUUACCAAGGCAACGAUGCGUAGCCGACCUGAGAGGGUGAUCGGCCACACUGGAACUGAGACACGGUCCAGACUCCUACGGGAGGCAGCAGUAGGGAAUCUUCCGCAAUGGGCGAAAGCCUGACGGAGCAACGCCGCGUGAGUGAUGAAGGUCUUCGGAUCGUAAAACUCUGUUAUUAGGGAAGAACAAAUGUGUAAGUAACUGUGCACGUCUUGACGGUACCUAAUCAGAAAGCCACGGCUAACUACGUG